RNA transcript from Ochotona princeps (American pika), 408 nucleotides. It is a transcript of the gene named major allergen I polypeptide chain 1-like, with no coding region annotated. The transcript is spliced from 4 exons. Lineage: Eukaryota; Metazoa; Chordata; Mammalia; Lagomorpha; Ochotonidae. The record is from RefSeq and is a predicted model, not a curated record.
GCCACCUGCUGCAUCAUGAAGCCUGCUGAGUUCCUGUUGCUGCUGCUAGGUGCAGCAUUGCUCCUGACCUCCAGAGCCAAUGGCGACAUCUGCCCGGCUGUGGAGCAGGCCGUGCAGCUGUUCCUGUCCGGGUCCCCUGAUGACUAUAUUUCCAACAUGGGAAGGUAUGUCAGCGACCCAGCAGUGCUGGCUAAUGAGGCAGCACUGAAGAAAUGUGUGGACAGCAAACUGACCGAGGAGGACAAGCAACAUGCCAUGAGUGCCGUGAACAAACUCUUCUCCAGCACUCUUUGCUAAGGGAGCCCUUCCAGGGGUGCACUGCCUGAGAAGCCGGCAUCCCAUCGAGGCACAUACUUGAGUCCCAGCUGCUCCAUUUCCAAUCCAUCUUCCUGCGGAUGUACCUGGGAG